UACAGAGGGUGCAAGCGUUAAUCGGAAUUACUGGGCGUAAAGCGUGCGCAGGCGGUUAUGCAAGACAGGUGUGAAAUCCCCGAGCUCAACUUGGGAACUGCACUUGUGACUGCAAGGCUAGAGUACGGCAGAGGGGGAUGGAAUUCCGCGUGUAGCAGUGAAAUGCGUAGAUAUGCGGAGGAACACCAAUGGCGAAGGCAAUCCCCUGGGCCUGUACUGACGCUCAUGCACGAAAGCGUGGGGAGCAAACAGG
RNAcentral lists this ribosomal RNA (253 nucleotides) under uncultured bacterium. Its description in RNAcentral is "partial 16S ribosomal RNA". It matches the Rfam family "Bacterial small subunit ribosomal RNA", at positions 524 to 776 of the family's 1533-position model. The record is from RNAcentral.